CCUACGGGUGGCAGCAGUGAGGAAGAUUGGUCAAUGGGCUUACGCCUGAACCAGCCAAGUCGCGUGAGGGAAGACUGCCCUAUGGGUUGUAAACCUCUGUUGUCAGGGAGCAACGCCGGCUACGUGUAGCCGGACUGAGAGGACCUGAAGAAAAAGCAGCGGCUAACUCCGUGCCAGCAGCCGCGGUAAUACGGAGGAUGCGAGCGUUAUCCGGAUUUAUUGGGUUGAAAGGGUGCGUAGGCGGAAUGCCAAGUCAGCGGUAAAAUCGCGGGGCGCAACCUCGCUCCGCCGUUGAAACGGGCGUUCUUGAGUGGGCGAGCCGUAUGCGCACUGCGUGGUGUAGCG
Molecule: ribosomal RNA, 345 nt
Filed under: uncultured bacterium
Lineage: Bacteria
Description: partial 16S ribosomal RNA
Rfam family: Bacterial small subunit ribosomal RNA
Source: RNAcentral